Molecule: transfer RNA, 71 nt
Filed under: Camelus bactrianus (Bactrian camel)
Lineage: Eukaryota; Metazoa; Chordata; Mammalia; Artiodactyla; Camelidae
Also listed under: 2 other names
Rfam family: tRNA
About the family: Transfer RNA (tRNA) molecules are approximately 80 nucleotides in length. Their secondary structure includes four short double-helical elements and three loops (D, anti-codon, and T loops).
Source: Rfam by way of RNAcentral
AGGGGCAUAGCUCAGUGGUAGAGCACGUGCUUAGCAUGCAUGAGGUCCUGGGUUCAAGCCCAGCACCUCCA